Molecule: ribosomal RNA, 497 nt
Filed under: uncultured bacterium
Lineage: Bacteria
Description: partial 16S ribosomal RNA
Rfam family: Bacterial small subunit ribosomal RNA
Source: RNAcentral
GAUGAACGCUGGCGGCGUGCCUAAUACAUGCAAGUCGAGCGAACAGACGAGGAGCUUGCUCCUCUGACGUUAGCGGCGGACGGGUGAGUAACACGUGGAUAACCUACCUAUAAGACUGGGAUAACUUCGGGAAACCGGAGCUAAUACCGGAGAAUAUAUUGAACCGCAUGGUUCAAUAGUGAAAGACGGCUUUGCUGUCACUUAUAGAGGGAUCCGCGCCGCAUUAGCUAGUUGGUCAGGUAACGGCUUACCAAGGCAACGAUGCGUAGCCGACCUGAGAGAGUGAUCGGCCACACUGGAACUGGGACAGCGUCCAGACGCCUACGGGAGGCAGCAGUAGGGAAUCGUCCGCAAUGGGCGAAAGCUUGACGGAGCAGCGCGGCGUGAGUGAUGAAGGUCUUCGGUGCGUGAAGCUCUGUUAUGGGGUAAGAACAAAUGUGUAAGUAACUAUGCACGUCUUGACGGUACCUAAUCAGAAAGCCACGGCUAACUACGUG